AUGCACGCUGGCGGCGUGCCUAAUACAUGCACGUCGAGCGAACGGACGAGAAGCUUGCUUCUCUGAUGUUAGCGGCGGACGGGUGAGUAACACGUGGAUAACCUACCUAUAAGACUGGGAUAACUUCGGGAAACCGGAGCUAAUACCGGAUAAUAUUUUGAACCGCAUGGUUCAAAAGUGAAAGACGGUCUUGCUGUCACUUAUAGAUGGAUCCGCGCUGCAUUAGCUAGUUGGUAAGGUAACGGCUUACCAAGGCAACGAUGCAUAGCCGACCUGAGAGGGUGAUCGGCCACACUGGAACUGAGACACGGUCCAGACUCCUACGGGAGGCAGCAGUAGGGAAUCUUCCGCAAUGGGCGAAAGCCUGACGGAGCAACGCCGCGUGAGUGAUGAAGGUCUUCGGAUCGUAAAACUCUGUUAUUAGGGAAGAACAUAUGUGUAAGUAACUGUGCACAUCUUGACGGUACCUAAUCAGAAAGCCACGGCUAACUACGU
This 495-nucleotide ribosomal RNA is filed under the name uncultured bacterium. RNAcentral's name for it is "partial 16S ribosomal RNA". It matches the Rfam family "Bacterial small subunit ribosomal RNA", at positions 29 to 506 of the family's 1533-position model. The record is from RNAcentral.